Long non-coding RNA from Xiphophorus maculatus (southern platyfish), 3379 nucleotides. RefSeq lists it as uncharacterized. Lineage: Eukaryota; Metazoa; Chordata; Actinopteri; Cyprinodontiformes; Poeciliidae. The transcript is spliced from 5 exons. The record is from RefSeq and is a predicted model, not a curated record.
AACUCCCCAUACACAUACAUGGCGGAGAAAUGUAUAAAAGUAGACGGAAAAGGAGAAGUAAGUGUUCUUUGUCCACGGCGCUGGAGAGAGGUCGACACGGGAAAGCAGAUUGAGGAAACAGCAACAGACCGCACCCUGGAACCACGGGAGACUUGAGACUCCGCGCCGCCAAGAAGGGACAAGUUCCGGACGCCCAAGCCCUGGUUCCUGAUCCGACCGUCGGUCUUGUCUCAGCCCAGAUAUUGCAACAGACUUGGAGAAAAGACGAAGAUCCCGGAGGGAUAGAGAGCUGGGUUUUUAAAGGAUUUGGACCCGUUCUGCUUUGUUACGAUUCUAAGGAGGAUUUUUUCCACAUAAGGACAAAAAUUCUGACCAAGGCUUCUGGAUGUUUCUGUUGCCAAGAUUCACCAUCUACUGGGUCGAUGGCCUGCAGGAAGGAGGACUGGCAAGGCAGCAGUGGAUGACCAAACAGGCUGCUGAUUAGGCAUCUUGCAUUCAUUAAGGUGUGUUCUGUGAUGCACUGUGUCCAUCAGCCCAAAGAUAUCGGAUAACAAAGCCAAGUGCGGUAAGACGAUCCUGGGGGAGCGCUACGUUUUCAGUUCCACAGAAACAACCUUCUGUUCCAAUGAGACAUGCAGAGGACAAAAAGGGACUAACAGGAGCCACCUUUGAAGAAUCGUUCCAAAACUAAAUGUCAUGAUGGAUGUUUAAGUGGACCCAAAUGCAGCUGGUAGAAGCGUCAAAUAGAGCUUUUGUAAAUUUCAUGGAAAAAUAAACAAACUUACAAAAAGUCAAAGAACACAAACCACAAACCUGCGGGAAAAAGACGGUAGGAAACAGAUGGAAAAAAUAAUGAGUAGAUGAGAGAAACCGGUGAGGAAUGACUGAGAAUAAGAUGCUUAAGUACUCGGAGGUGUUAAUGCUGAAAAAAGGCCUGGGCUGAUGAGCUAACUGAUUGCCAGAGUGAAAAGAGAAAGCAUAAGGCAGACUGAGGAGAGGGAGAGAGAAAAAGAAAGUGGCACAGGGGGCGAGAGAUAGUACAGUGGGGACUAGGAAAUAAAUCUAAGUCCCGGUCCUAAUGCUUGCACUUCCACUUUUGUGUCUUUCAAAUGCUCAUGAGGUUAAGCCUCAUUUACCCUCUUCUUACAUGGGCAAUAGACUGUUGUUCUGACAGUCAGAUAUGUUUACAGAUCUAUGCCGCCUGCUUUCUUAAAUAAAAUGUAAUAUUUUUAAGUUUGUGUACACACAUUUUUGGAAAUAUGGCAAUGCAAGAUAAUGUUGAACGACAUAAUGUCCAAUGUCUGCCAAAUUCUUAGUGGUAUGUUAUGAUGUAGACCUAUUAGACAAAAAAAUGUACACGAAUCAACAUUGAUUCCUUAAGUUUGAUUCAAUAUACAAUUAACACAAAAGAGCAUGCAGAUCCACAUUCAGUUAAUGAUUGAAUUAACAUUGAUAUUGUCUCAGUUAAGGUUGAAAACCUAACAUUGAUUCAACAUGUAAGUCACCGACCACUUUCAAUUUCAUUUCAAUGUCUGACUUCAACGUGGAUUCAAUGUUUCAACAUUUUUUCACUCAUAUUUUGCUACUUUAUUGAUGUCAUUUUGGCAACAUAUUUAUUUGCUAUUUGAGAUUCUACUAUCAUAUUAUUCCCCAUGGCUAAACUUGUUUUGCACCAUCAAGAUUACAAGAUUUCUUUGACACGCUGAGCAGGACAUUUAUUAUGAGUCUCCGAGACCAUGUCGCCACCAAAAAAGAAAAGGACGACAGACAUUAGAAGUUAUUUCGCUACCUCGGCUGAUGCUCAGACAGCAGAGCAAGGGGCAGAGCAGAACGAUGGAGAGGUGGCUGGAGCUUCAGGGCUCCAGGUGAGGUGUUAGUUCUACUGUGAAAUUAUCUCAGUAAAUAUGGCAUUUGAAGUGUUAGUCUUAAAUUAAGUGUAGCAGCAUAAAUGGUACGCUGCCACUUUAAGAUCAAUUUCGGCUGCUGCAUAUAAGCAGGUGUCUACCUGCCACAAGACUACUUGCGUCAUGACGUCAACUCAUUCCGUUUAGUUUGUUUGCUGAGCUGUGCUGGCCUCCCUUGCUGUGCCUCCAACUCCUGGACCAAUUUGUUCGGUUGUUUGCUGCCGGGAAGGUAAGCGCUAGCAUGGCUAGGUAACAUCCGUCUCAUGUAAACGAAGCCUUUAUGUAGUGUUCUGUUACAGCUGCACUCCAUAGGCGAACUUGUGGAUCUGUUAAUCUGGCCGUGUGGUAAUUUACAGGUAAGCAGCUACCAUAAGUUAUAGUUUUUAUCAGCAGUGGUAUUAAUAAUCUACUUUAUUUUUUAGCCUCCUGCCGAGUCCCUGACGACUAUUAUAUUUGGAUGUACACUCGCUGCUGUUUUGCCUACGAUGAAUUGUUUUAAAAGAUUUGUAUGAACUUUCCCCCGCUGCCAGGAGUAUUGAUGGCACCACAAACGGGAUAAAAAAAGCAAUAUUUUAGUGCUAUUGUAUCACUGUUUUACUCAUAUUGUUUAAUUUUUUGUCUUUCUUUUAGGGAAUGAGGCUUCUGUGGUGGCGGUGGUGACCCCUGGUGGCGGUGUCUUGUCUUGUGUGUUUUGUUGGAACACCCCUUUUUGUGUGUGUGUGUGUGUGUGUGUGUUUGCCGUGUCUAACCCAGGGUGAUCCCUUUUCUUCACUGGAUGUUGCCCCUUUCCUCACUACUCUCCCCCCACUGACUUAUGAUGUUUUUGGAAUCGUGUCUUUGGCUCAUCGUCUCCAUAAAUCUGGCUUCAAGCAAAGCUCGAGACCUCACAGCCUGCCUGCUCUGCCUGGCUGUUUCCACCUUUCCUCCCCUGACUCACCAGGCACCAAGCUGCCCCUUCUGGUUCACCGUGGACAAAAACCUGAGUUUUUCCGCCACCUCCUGAAUUCCACAAACACCUUCAAUCUCUUUUGUAAAUAAAUCACAACAAACUGUGUGUCAUGUCUGCAUGUGGGUCAAGAAAUUACUUCAAAACAAGGGGGAAAAGUGGAAAUAAACAUGAAUACUGUAAUUCUAGAAAAACCUCACUGCUUCCAUAGUUUUCAAACAUUCUAUAGACAUUGUAGUAUCUGUAAAACACAUAAAUUCCAUGUUUAUUUGUUGUUUUUUUAGUUUGUUUGAUUUUGCAGAAGAGGGCUGUUUGAGUCAUAAGUGGAAGUGCAUACAGAGAUCACACGAGCCCAAUAUUUAUACUGUUAAACUUAUUGAAACUUCAUGAAUGGACUCUAUAUGAUGAAUAUUUUAAAAUCUAUGUACAAAGUGCAUAAGCUUUUACGAACAAAUAUUUAAAACAUAUUUGUAAAGAGAGAAAGCAAAACAAAUAUGAUGAUGAUUAAGUAAAAAUGGCAUUAAAUUGA